AAACAAUUGUAACAUGAAGCAUAUAAAACAUUAAAAUUCAGUUAUUUCAAUUUUGUUGUCACUGUAGAAACCAGUGAAUUACAUAUUUUAUAACAAAGCCAGAAUGCUUUAUUUUAGAUAAUAUGACAAAAAUAGAAACAGAUGUCCUGCAGAGAGUGUGUGUGUGUGUGUGUGUGUGUGUGUGUGUGUGUGUGUGUGUGUGUGUAAGGCUGGCAGCUGAAGGACAGUUUGAUGGGUGCUUUGGGACUACGGCAUGCCAAGAAAAGGAUUUACAUCCCUGAAAACACACAGAACAUCCUCAUCCAAGUGUGAUGAUCGCGCACACACACACACACACACACACACACACACACAGUCUUUUUUCAUGCACACAUUUGAUAGGCUAUUCAAUAAAAAUCAGGCCAAAAUUCAGAUCAGCAAGGACCUCCCUGCUGGCUUUCUUGUCUCCCAAACACACUUACCCAACAGGGGCAGAAUUGGCAGUUUGAUAACCGAAUGACAAAUGUUAGAGAAACCGUCUGAACCAUGAUCACAUCUAUAAUCCUUCCAGACCUGUCAGAGAGAGUGGGAAAAAAACAGGGAAGAUGAAGACGCUACUCAACAAACCUCCAUACACAAGGCGUUCGAAAAGAACUCCACUUGACGACUGCCACUGUUCACAGGUCACUUCAUCCCACUGCCCUUUUCUCUCGAAAGACAUUUACCUGCCCACAUGACUGUGCGGCUGCAUUUCUCAGCACACCAACAAGACACGGAGGAGGCUGGAUGGAUACUGGUCAACAAUCUCAGUGGGUUCUGGAAGCAUACAAGACAGCAUGCGAGCAGCAUUGGCUCUAUGUGCGUCUCAACAAAGUACAGUUUGAAAACCAUCGAUCAGGAGGAACUCUCAGCAGUGUUUACCCAUCACGCCUCCUGUUAUUUUCCCAAAAACUGCUUUGAGUUGAGCAGGAGUGAUGCAUGAUUUUGAAGGCUCUUCUGAUUCGAGCCGCCAUAUGGACGUACUGUAUAUGUGCAAAGAAAACACUCCUAAAGGAAGCCGAAUGGCAAAGUAUUGAUGGAAUACAGAGAGAAAGCAAUACAUGCAAUGAUGGAGAGCAGGAUCAAAAGACAUGUGCAAAAUGAGCAUCAUGUAAGCCGUCUUUUGCUUCUAGUUUAUUGCAUUCAUAUUCUACAGCUCUAUUGAGCUUUUUCCCCCACAGUCUGUCACCGGUUCAAAUACACAGCAUUUUUAUUGAGCAAGUGUGUUUUUCAGGGGGUGGUUUUGGUGUGUUUUAAAGGCAAUCUACAACUCUGUUCCAGAAUAGCAUGUGAAAUGAAGCUCACCAUCGAAGAUUAUGCGGACCAUACCGGCAGUCAAUUGGCACAGGGUGUAUGGGUCUUUUGUGUGGCGCCUGGCAGCAUUUUAGAUUGUUUGCCUGCCAGGAAAUGACAGAUUGGGUUUGAACAGUGGGAUUCCCUCCCCAUCAGAGUUUCUUAAAGACUUUGGCGUGGGAUAAGCUGAAAAAAAAAAAAGAUUGAAAUUGCACUAGCAUAUUAGGGCAAUCCAUUAAAAUGGUAUUUUUGUUGGGGGGGGGGUGGCUUUGAUGGAGAAAGCUGGGAAAAAGUGCUACAUACAGUACAUAAACAAGGCGUGACAUCCUUGGAAAUUAUAGAGAAAUGUCAUUGGAUUUUGAAAGGACAUUUACACACAUAUAUGCACACAUGUUUGAUGGUUUAGCUGUGAUUAGAGAGUGUUUUGGUCUCGGCUGCAGGCUGAGUAAAUGGGAGAGUGAGGCCUCCUGCAGCUCUUCAGAGUUAUAAUCACCCAUCAGCAGGACUCGGGGAGAAAUAAGAAGGGUGGAAAUACGGGGCUGUUCUCGCAAACAGCUUCAGAGUUAAUUACCUCUGGAUGCACUGUCCUGAAGUUUGGCUUGCAAUAACCAUUUUCACUCUUAAUACAUGUAUUCCUCAGAUGUUCUUCU
This is a long non-coding RNA of Cyprinus carpio (common carp), 1961 nucleotides long. NCBI's taxonomy places the organism in Eukaryota, Metazoa, Chordata, Actinopteri, Cypriniformes, Cyprinidae. The record is from Ensembl.